AGAAGGAAGAAGGAGCUCCUUUUGAUCCAAUGUGAAGGGCUUAGAAGAUGCAAGAGCUGUCAUCUCAUGCAUUAGGCUACCCUUAAUGUUUUGUAAUUUCAGUAUCUUCCAUUGUUUGAAAUGUUAAGUUUGGCCAAGUGCAUGAUGUGAGAGCAACUCAAUCCUUCUUCUUAGCCCACCCAUUGGAUUGAAGGGAGCUCUUACUUUCACCUUU
This is a non-coding RNA of Lupinus albus (white lupine), 214 nucleotides long. The record is from the annotation of a GenBank genome assembly. Lineage: Eukaryota; Viridiplantae; Streptophyta; Magnoliopsida; Fabales; Fabaceae.